RNAcentral lists this long non-coding RNA (330 nucleotides) under Salmo salar (Atlantic salmon). RNAcentral describes it as "lncRNA (ENSSSAG00000121180.1)". Lineage: Eukaryota; Metazoa; Chordata; Actinopteri; Salmoniformes; Salmonidae. The record is from RNAcentral.
AUUCAGGCUGUAACACAACAAAAUGUGGAAUAAGUGAAGGGACAUUUCAGAAUUGCUGGGAGAAGUCAUCAAAAUGUCGACAUUGACUAGCAGUUGACAACUGAAUACUUCUGGAGACGAGAAUCUAAAGACUAAGCAGAGGCGAGGAAAGGGAACAGCGUGGUUCCGCCCCCAUCAGGAAAUGACGACACGACAGUCAACACGCGGAAGUUCCGUGUUUAGUUGAUUAGUGACGUUGUGCCUGAGACAAAUGUGCCUUGCUUCAGCUAAACGGGAUGAAUGAACUAGUUGUGCUACCCGAAGAGAUUCAUUGAAACAGCAGCAAACAAG